RNAcentral lists this long non-coding RNA (273 nucleotides) under Elaeis guineensis (African oil palm). RNAcentral's name for it is "long non-coding RNA (EGUI_LNC002130)". The record is from RNAcentral. Lineage: Eukaryota; Viridiplantae; Streptophyta; Magnoliopsida; Arecales; Arecaceae.
GAGAUGAAAGAAAGACACUUUCUUGGGUUGAAAAACCACCAUCUCUUAGUUUUAGGAUGAGGACGGAGAACAAAGAAAGUCUGAAAUAGAGAAGGGCAAGGAUUGGUCGAGAUAAGAUGACACAACAAGGUGAAACUGAUGAUCAGCCGAAUGAAAUUUAGAGCUUGCUGAGCAAGACAAAGUUGAUAAUAAUCAAGAAGAUUCCGGACGAACUCUGAAAUUGAAAAUCGAAGACUAGUUUGAAGAUCUUUGACAUAGAAUGCAACUUGUCCA